RNAcentral lists this ribosomal RNA (270 nucleotides) under uncultured bacterium. RNAcentral's name for it is "partial 16S ribosomal RNA". It matches the Rfam family "Bacterial small subunit ribosomal RNA", at positions 524 to 794 of the family's 1533-position model. The record is from RNAcentral.
CACGUAGGGACCGAGCGUUGUCCGGAUUUAUUGGGCGUAAAGCGCGCGUAGGCGGCUGUCCACGUCGGAUGUGAAAGCUCGGAGCUCAACUCUGAGAGGCCAUUCGAUACGGGACAGCUAGAGGCAGGUAGGGAGAUCGGAAUUCCUGGUGUAGCGGUGAAAUGCGCAGAUAUCAGGAGGAACACCGGUGGCGAAGGCGGAUCUCUGGGCCUGUCCUGACGCUCAGGCGCGAAAGCUGGGGGAGCAAACAGGAUUAGAUACCCUGGUAGU